Molecule: ribosomal RNA, 468 nt
Filed under: uncultured bacterium
Lineage: Bacteria
Description: partial 16S ribosomal RNA
Rfam family: Bacterial small subunit ribosomal RNA
Source: RNAcentral
GACGAACGCUGGCGGCGUGCUUAAUACAUGCAAGUCGAACGGAAAGGCCCUGCUUUUGCUGGGUGCUCGAGUGGCGAACGGGUGAGUAACACGCGAGUAACCCGCCCCUGACUUUGGGAUAACUCUAGGAAACUGGGGCUAAUAUCGGAUAUGAGCUCUUGCUGCACGGUGUGCGUUGGAAGGAUUCGGCGGUUGGGGAUGGACUCGCGGCUUAUCAGCUUGUUGGUGAGGUAGUGGCUUACCAAGGCUUUGACGGGUAGCCGGCCUGAGAGGGUGACCGGCCACAUUGGGACUGAGAUACGGCCCAGACGCGUACGGGAGGCAGCAGUGGGGAGUAUUGCGCAAUGGGCGGGAGCCAGAUGCGGCGGCGCCCGGUGCGGAAUGACGGCCUUCGAGGGGUGAACCACUUUCGACUGUGACGAAGCGUGAGUGACGGUAAUGGGUAAGAAAGCACCGGCUAACUACGUG